RNAcentral lists this ribosomal RNA (447 nucleotides) under uncultured bacterium. RNAcentral describes it as "partial 16S ribosomal RNA". It matches the Rfam family "Bacterial small subunit ribosomal RNA", at positions 29 to 523 of the family's 1533-position model. The record is from RNAcentral.
AGCGAACGCUGGCGGCAGGCUUAACACAUGCAAGUCGAACGGUCCUUCGGGAUAGUGGCGGACGGGUGAGUAACACGUGGGAACGUACCCUUAGGUUCGGAACAACACAGGGAAACUUGUGCUAAUACCGGAUAAGCCCUUCGGGGGAAAGAUUUAUCGCCUUUGGAGCGGCCCGCGUCUGAUUAGCUUGUUGGUGAGGUAAUGGCUCACCAAGGCUACGAUCAGGAGCUGGUCUGAGAGGAUGGCCAGCCAAACUGGGACUGAGACACGGCCCAGACUCCUACGGGAGGCAGCAGUGGGGAAUCUUGCGCAAUGGGCGAAAGCCUGACGCAGCCAUGCCGCGUGGAUGAUGAAGGGCUUAGGAUUGUAAAACCCUUUCACCGGGGACGAUAAUGACGGUACCCGGAGAAGAAGCCCCGGCUAACUUCAUGCCAGCCGCCGCCGUAA